GCUAGUCGUACGAGUUCAGACUCGUGGCGAAUAGCUCAGUAACACGUGGUCAAACUACCCUGUCGAGCGGGACACCCUCGGGAAACUGAGGCUAAUCCCGCAUACGGCUCGCUGCCUGGAGUGGCGCGAGCUCGAAACGCUCCGGCGCGACAGGAUGUGACUGCGGCCGAUUAGGUAGACGGUGGGGUAACGGCCCACCGUGCCAAUAAUCGGUACGGGUUGUGAGAGCAAGAGCCCGGAGACGGUAUCUGAGACAAGAUACCGGGCCCUACGGGGCGCAGCAGGCGCGAAACCUUUACACUGCACGCCAGUGCGAUAAGGGGACUCCCAGUGCGAGGGCAUAUCGUCCUCGCUUUUGUGUACCGUAGGGAGGUACACGAAUAAGGGCUGGGCAAGACCGGUGCCAGCCGCCGCGGUAAUACCGGCAGCCCAAGUGAUGACCGCUAUUAUUGGGCCUAAAGCGUCCGUAGCCGGCCACGCAAGUCCGUCGGGAAAUCCGCACGCCCAACGUGCGGGCGUCCGGCGGAAACUGCCUGGCUUGGGACCGGAAGACCAGAGGGGUACGUCCGGGGUAGGAGUGAAAUCCCGUAAUCCUGGACGGACCACCGGUGGCGAAAGCGCCUCUGGAAGACGGAUCCGACGGUGAGGGACGAAAGCUCGGGUCACGAACCGGAUUANAUACCCGGGUAGUCCGAGCCGUAAACGAUGUCUGCUAGGUGUGACACUGGCUACGAGCCAGUGUUGUGCCGUAGGGAAGCCGUGAAGCAGACCGCCUGGGAAGUACGUCCGCAAGGAUGAAACUUAAAGGAAUUGGCGGGGGAGCACUACAACCGGAGGAGCCUGCGGUUUAAUUGGACUCAACGCCGGACAUCUCACCAGCACCGACAGUAGCCGUGAAGAUCANUGUGAUGAGCUUAUUGGAGCUACUGAGAGGAGGUGCAUGG
RNAcentral lists this ribosomal RNA (944 nucleotides) under Natribaculum sp. RNAcentral describes it as "bacterial SSU rRNA". It matches the Rfam family "Archaeal small subunit ribosomal RNA", at positions 53 to 997 of the family's 1478-position model. Lineage: Archaea; Methanobacteriati; Methanobacteriota; Halobacteria; Halobacteriales; Natrialbaceae. The record is from RNAcentral.